UGCUUCUUUUAUUUUUUCUGAAGGACCCCACCCACCCACACUUAUUCGCCCCCCUUCACCAAAUUCUUAACACACACUGAACACAACGUCAAAUAGCUUCACACUCAACCAAUCACAAGCAACAGCAUUGUGUCAACCUACAUCACAGUGGCCAAUCAAAUGUUUUGUAGUCUGUCAUGUGACACAAAGCCCCGCCCCAUUUGUGGAAUCAUUCAGAGUGCGAGUGGAACUACAGCGAUUCAGCGGUGACUGACCGGCGCAGAUCCAACCGGCUGGAGGAUCCGAGGACAUUUCCGAAGCGAUACAAAUGCUCCUUACGUGGAAUGUCUUCCUUCACGUCUUCUUAAGAUUUUAAAGAAGACGCUGUGCUGGACGGUAGGAGCUGUUGAAGUUUUGACUGUGGGUUUGCGCUCCCUCUCACCCACACUCUGUCUCCAAGAAGCUGCAGGGUUUUCGCUGACUUGGCAAAAGUGCGUCGCGACGCAGGAACAGAAAUAAACUGUCGGCCUUCAAGAACUACAACACACACGCACAUCUUGUCCUCAUCGGACCUCCAAGGCUGAUUAGGUUAACUGUUUUCCCGGCCCCCUACCUCAGUUUCAUGGCACCUGCAGCACUUUGAGAUUGUAUCGCUGUGGUAACUGGGGGAAGCUUCUCUUUUAUCUCAUCGGACCGUCUGGCAUUCCUUUGCUGUCCAACGGCAUCUCAACGAAACAGUCAUGCAGCUUCAAAAGAGAGCCUUGUUCUUCAGUUGUCCUUUACAAACGGGCUGAGGCUCAGAUGAAAGACACACCAAAGGCAAGAGAGACACCAUCAAAAUGGAAACUUGAUUCGGAUUGGUCAGUCGCGACAUUCUGUAGUCAAAUAUUUUUGUAUAAUGACUGAUAAACUGUAUAAUUGUCCUUUUGCUGGAAUC
Molecule: long non-coding RNA, 916 nt
Organism: Rhinichthys klamathensis goyatoka
Lineage: Eukaryota; Metazoa; Chordata; Actinopteri; Cypriniformes; Leuciscidae
Exons: 3
Source: RefSeq, a predicted model, not a curated record